RNAcentral lists this ribosomal RNA (1602 nucleotides) under Anomalopteryx didiformis (little bush moa). RNAcentral's name for it is "16S ribosomal RNA". It matches the Rfam family "Bacterial large subunit ribosomal RNA". The record is from RNAcentral. Lineage: Eukaryota; Metazoa; Chordata; Aves; Dinornithiformes; Emeidae.
UGCUUAUCCUAGCUCAAUCACCCAUAUUACAACAUACCAAACAAAAUCCACUAAACACGUCGAAGCAAAACAUUCUUUGCACCCAGUAUAGGCGAUAGAAAAGUCACUUGACGCAAUAGAGACCAGUACCGUAAGGGAAAGCUGAAAUAACAAUGAAAACCAAAGCAAAAAACAGCAAAGACUAGCCCUUGUACCUUUUGCAUAAUGAUUUAGCCAGAACACCCAAGCAAAGCGAACUUAAGCUUGCCAUCCCGAAACCCAAGCGAGCUACUUGCAAGCAGCUAUCCUGAGCAAACCCGUCUCUGUGGCAAAAGAGUGGGAAGACUUGCUAGUAGAGGUGAAAAGCCAACCGAGCUGGGUGAUAGCUGGUUGUCUGUGAAACGAACCUAAGUUCAUCCCUAACUUUCCCCCAGAUACUCUAACCACCCAAAACCCAUACGAGAGAAGUUAGGAGCAAUUUAAAGGAGGUACAGCUCCUUUAAACAAGAACACAAUCUCAGCCAGAGGGUAACCUUCACCCCCUACACCACACGUAGGCCCUCAAGCAGCCAUCAACAAAGAGUGCGUCAAAGCUCUCCAACUACAAAAAUCUAAAAACACCACGACCCCCUCCCCACUAACAGACUAACCUAUGACUAUAGGAGAAUCAAUGCUAAAAUGAGUAAUUAUGAAACCUCUUCUCUCAAGCGCAAGCUUACAUCACACAUUAUUAACAGACCGACUAAUACCACCACCCCACAAGAACAAAUAUUUUAAACCACUCUGUUAACCCAACAUAGGAGCGCCAUGCUAGAAAGAUUAAAAUCUGCAAAAGGAACUACGGCAAACCAAGGGCCCGACUGUUUACCAAAAACAUAGCCUUCAGCAACCAACAAGUAUUGAAGGUGAUGCCUGCCCAGUGACUAAAGUUUAACGGCCGCGGUAUCCUAACCGUGCAAAGGUAGCGCAAUCAAUUGUCCCAUAAAUCGAGACUUGUAUGAAUGGCUAAACGAGGUCCUAACUGUCUCUUGCAGAUAAUCAAUGAAAUUGAUCUCCCUGUGCAAAAGCAGGGAUACUAACAUAAGACGAGAAGACCCUGUGGAACUUAAAAAUCAAGGACCAAUGCACCUAAACUACCAACCUAUCUAGGCCCAUAAUACCUGCACAACUGGUCCUCAUUUUUCGGUUGGGGCGACCUUGGAGAAAAAAAAAUCCUCCAAAAACAAGACCAUCUAUCUUAACUAAGAACCCACCCCUCAAAGUACUAAUAGGAACCAGACCCAAUAUAAUUGAUUAAUGAACCAAGCUACCCCAGGGAUAACAGCGCAAUCUCCUUCAAGAGCCCAUAUCGACAAGGAGGUUUACGACCUCGAUGUUGGAUCAGGACAUCCUAAUGGUGCAGCCGCUAUUAAGGGUUCGUUUGUUCAACGAUUAACAGUCCUACGUGAUCUGAGUUCAGACCGGAGUAAUCCAGGUCGGUUUCUAUCUAUGCUAUACUCUUCCUAGUACGAAAGGACCGGAAAAGUGAGGCCAAUACUAAACAGCAUGCCUCCUCUCUAAUUAGUGAAACCAACUUAACUAAUAAGAAAAUACCCAAUCCUCAUCACAUCCUAGAAAAGGAUA